AUACGGAGGGUGCAAGCGUUAUCCGGAUUUAUUGGGUUUAAAGGGUGCGCAGGCGGACCUGUCAGUCAGUGGUGAAAUCCCGGGGCUCAACCCCGGAACUGCCAUUGAUACUACAGGUCUUGAAUACGGUUGAAGUAGGCGGAAUGUAGCAUGUAGCGGUGAAAUGCAUGGAUAUGCUACAGAACACCGAUCGCGAAGGCAGCUUACUAAGCCGAUAUUGACGCUCAGGCACGAAAGCGUGGGGAGCGAGCAGGAUUAGAAACCCCAGUAGUCC
Molecule: ribosomal RNA, 274 nt
Filed under: uncultured bacterium
Lineage: Bacteria
Description: partial 16S ribosomal RNA
Rfam family: Bacterial small subunit ribosomal RNA
Source: RNAcentral